AUUUUUUAAAUGGAAGAGAAUCGUCACAUCCGAACAUCAGUCACAAGAGAGAAGUUACAAAACUGGCCCCAAAGGAGGCCGCCGGGGGGCUUCUUUUUGGACCCGAUGUGAAACUGACCCAUGGAUAACUUCCCUCCACCAGGGGGCAACUCCCCCUGUCCCAUAGACGUCUAUGAGGAAAUGAGUCUACUUCUUUCUUGAUUUAUUCCCUCAGUAAACAUUGUAAACAGGAGUUUAUGGUCUCAGUCUCGUUUCAAGUCUUCAGUCCAGCGUGAUGUUCAUUUAUCAAACUAUGUCCAAAUUAUGUCAAUCCGUCAGAGUUUCCCCUCCACCACCCGAAGGCGUAGGGAGGCGACCUUUUUGUCCACCGGGGUAAACUCCAAUGUAGCAGCACUCAGCCGGGGACUUAUGAGUAUCCCCACACCCGCCUGGCGCCUCACACCAUGGGCCACUCCGGAGUAGAAUAGAGUCCACCCCCUAUCCAGGAGUGUGGUUCCAGAGCCGAGGCUGUGCGUAGAGGUAAGCCCCACCAGAUCCAACUGGUACCGCUCCACCUCCCGCACAAGCUCCGGCUCCUUCCCCCCCAGAGAGGUUACGUUCCACGUCCCCAGAGCCAGCAUCUGCCGCCCAGGUCUGUUCCAUCUAGACCCCCCACUGUCACUGCCACCCUUAGCAGCACACCCGACCCCAUCGGUGUCCCCCACAGGUGGUGAGCCCAUGGGGAGUCGAGGGCUAAUCUUGUCAAUCAGACUGGAUUUGUCACAAAGGUCGCAGCGGCGUGGUGGCAUGGCAGGAAGGAGGACCCAAACGUUCCACGCAGAAAAAUACUUACAAAAUUCAAAAAUGCCGAGUGGAAAAACCGCAGACAAGCCGAGGACCAGGACCGCCAAGAACACGUACGACAUUCAAGCAGAACAUACAAUGACGCAACAAAGGACAACCGACACACAUGGCUUUAUUUCACAUUAUUUUUUAUUUUAUUUCUCGUGCACCGUUGUCUGCUGUCAAGUCCGAUUCCUUGUAUGUGUGACAUAUUAUGGCCAUAAAUGUUUCCUGGUCCUCCUGUCAUCAGAGGGGAUGACGGGAGAGGGCAGGAAGUGAAGCUAACCAAGGGACACAAGAGGCAGGAAACUACAAAAUAAAACAGGAAAUAAACCCAAGCCGUGACAGGAUUAAGUCAUUUAUGAAAUGGUGAACUACGUAUUUGGAAAUUAGGUUAAUAUAUGAGCAGCCAAUGCUGAUGUGCCUUUCCCUCUCUGUCUGUGUGUCAGACAACACUAAAGAACU
Molecule: long non-coding RNA, 1287 nt
Organism: Gasterosteus aculeatus aculeatus (three-spined stickleback)
Lineage: Eukaryota; Metazoa; Chordata; Actinopteri; Perciformes; Gasterosteidae
Source: Ensembl